This 285-nucleotide ribosomal RNA is filed under the name uncultured Lachnospiraceae bacterium. RNAcentral describes it as "partial 16S ribosomal RNA". It matches the Rfam family "Bacterial small subunit ribosomal RNA", at positions 61 to 339 of the family's 1533-position model. Lineage: Bacteria; Bacillati; Bacillota; Clostridia; Lachnospirales; Lachnospiraceae. The record is from RNAcentral.
CGCUUUACCGGAUUUCUUCGGAAUGAAAGUUUUGUGACUGAGUGGCGGACGGGUGAGUAACGCGUGGGUAACCUGCCUCAUACAGGGGGAUAACAGUUAGAAAUGACUGCUAAUACCGCAUAAGACCACAGGACCGCAUGGUCCAGUGGUAAAAACUCCGGUGGUAUGAGAUGGACCCGCGUCUGAUUAGCUAGUUGGUAAGGUAACGGCUUACCAAGGCGACGAUCGGUAGCCGGACUGAGAGGUUGAACGGCCACAUUGGGACUGAGACACGGCCCAGACUCC